Molecule: non-coding RNA, 76 nt
Organism: Manacus vitellinus (golden-collared manakin)
Lineage: Eukaryota; Metazoa; Chordata; Aves; Passeriformes; Pipridae
Source: Rfam
CCUUCGAUAGCUCAGCUGGUAGAGCGGAGGACUGUAGGCCAUCCUUAGAUUGCUAGUUCAAUUCCGGCUCGAAGAA